ACUGCUUCUCGGCCUGUUGGCUAAGAUGGAGGAUAGUAUCUGUUGUUAUCAGUUUAAUAUCCGAUGCAUCCUCUAUUGGAGGACAAUAUAUUAAAUGUAUUUUUGGAGCAGGGAGAUGCGAUAGGAUCUUGCUCCAUCCACUCCAUGCAUUGACCACCAUGGUAUUGCAGUACCUCCAGGAAUGAUGCACCCCCU
Molecule: small nuclear RNA, 195 nt
Organism: Prolemur simus (greater bamboo lemur)
Lineage: Eukaryota; Metazoa; Chordata; Mammalia; Primates; Lemuridae
Gene: U2
Rfam family: U2 spliceosomal RNA
About the family: U2 is a small nuclear RNA (snRNA) component of the spliceosome (involved in pre-mRNA splicing). Complementary binding between U2 snRNA (in an area lying towards the 5' end but 3' to hairpin I) and the branchpoint sequence (BPS) of the intron results the bulging out of an unpaired adenosine, on the BPS, which initiates a nucleophilic attack at the intronic 5' splice site, thus starting the first of two transesterification reactions that mediate splicing.
Source: Ensembl